AUAAACAAACUACUUCAUGAACAUCAUUACUACGACGUGUGGAGGGCAACGCAUGUGGGGGAGAGAGGAUAUACUUUCUUCUCCACAGCGCAUAACUCAUACUCUAGGAUAGAUGGAAUACUAAUAACUGGCCAACAUGUGGACCAGGUUAAAGCAUGCACCAUAGAACAGAUUACCUGGUCAGACCACGCCCCAGUAGUGACAACUCUA
This is a non-coding RNA of Pelobates cultripes (western spadefoot toad), 210 nucleotides long. NCBI's taxonomy places the organism in Eukaryota, Metazoa, Chordata, Amphibia, Anura, Pelobatidae. The record is from the annotation of a GenBank genome assembly.